This 514-nucleotide ribosomal RNA is filed under the name uncultured bacterium. RNAcentral's name for it is "bacterial SSU rRNA". It matches the Rfam family "Bacterial small subunit ribosomal RNA", at positions 15 to 518 of the family's 1533-position model. The record is from RNAcentral.
GAUUAUGGCUCAGGACGAACGGCUGGCGGCGUGCCUAACACAUGCAAGUCGAGCGGGGACAUGCGACGGAAGUGAAGUUUCGGAUGGAGCGGAAGAUGUUGUUCUAGCGGCGGACGGGUGAGUAACGCGUGAGCAACCUGUCCCUUACAGGGGGAUAACACAGCGAAAGUUGUACUAAUACCGCAUAAGACCACGGGGAGACAUCUCCCAGGGGUCAAAGGAGUAAUCCGGUAAGGGGUGGGCUCGCGUCCGAUUAGAUAGUUGGUGAGGUAACGGCCCACCAAGUCGACGAUCGGUAGCCGACCUGAGAGGGUGAUCGGCCACAUUGGGACUGAGACACGGCCCAACUCCUACGGGAGGCAGCAGUGGGGAAUAUUGGGCAAUGGGGGAAACCCUGACCCAGCAACGCCGCGUGAGGGAAGAAGGUUUUCGGAUCGUAAACCUCUGUCCUUGGUGAAGAGAAAGAGACGGUAGCCAAGGAGGAAGCCCCGGCUAACUACGUGCCAGCCGCAGC